This is a long non-coding RNA of Pygocentrus nattereri (red-bellied piranha), 1243 nucleotides long. The record is from Ensembl. NCBI's taxonomy places the organism in Eukaryota, Metazoa, Chordata, Actinopteri, Characiformes, Serrasalmidae.
AUGAAGAAGCAGAAGAAAUUUACUACCACUUUAGCACCAUCUCCCUCAACAUCUCUACAUUUUACAAUCAGUAAUCUUGGUUCUAAUGACUCUCCACCUCAACAGGAGUUUGUAGAAAGUCUGUGGAAGAGCAAAGGCAGUGGGAUUUCUAUUGGCCUGACUGACCGUGAGAAAGAAGGAGUUUGGAAAUGGGUGGACGGCUCAGCACUGACCACUGCGUACUGGGACAGUGGAAAUGGAUUUUCAGACAAUGACGACUGCGUUGUGAAUGGAUAUUCUGGAGGACAAAAAUGGUACGACAGACCCUGUAAUGAACCGUAUUACUGGAUGUGUGAGAUAACGUUUCUCCAGUGACUUCAUAGUCAGACAGCGUUCAGUAUAUAAAGCUUCUCUCCUGUGGAAAAAUAUGUAGCUGUGUUGAUAUUUGCCAUCAAAGUGGUUGAUUUGGUCGUACAGAGUUGUAGACUCUUCUUUUUAACCCGUGAAGUGUUGAGCGCAGUUAGGUGUGUAUAGUUUACUCUCAGCUUCUUGACGACAUUUGACAUUUUAUACCAAGUUUGUCUGUCCCAGCAUUGCACGGCUCAAAAGUUCACUAACUCAUUUGGAGUAGUAGUUGCUGCCUGUUGGAGAUUCAGUAGUUUAUAGUAGUUUAUACGACCCUGUUUCCAAAAAAGUUGGGAUGUUGUGCCAAAUGUAAAUGAACACAGAAUAUAAUGAUGUGCAAAUGAUGUAUACCCUGUAUUAAACUAAAAAAACACAAAGACAACAUGAAAUGUUGAAACUGAGAGUUUCUUUUGAAUUUGACACCAGCAACAAACCCAACAGGGUCAAACAGGGUCAUACUCUUAUAGUUAUAAUGGUGUGUAUUCGUUUGUUGAGGAUGAGGGAGGUCAUGUGUGUGUACUGUAUGAUUCCUUAUUGCUUCUCAAGAGUUUUUUCAUUCAAACUGAUAUUUUCAUAUAAAAUCUUGCAGUCAUUGUGAAAUAGUAAACCUGUCUUAUAGUGUCAUUCUUGUCUUCAUAUAUCCUCACUUGUCUUCAUUACUGCAUGCUGUUGCUGUAAAGUAAUUGUAUUUUUUCUGUAUGUACUUUCAACUGUAUUUCAUCAACUGUGUUUCAUGUGUUUAAAUACCCAGAUUUUAAGCAUUAAUAAAGAGUUAACAAGCCAUCUGAUAAUGACUUCUGAAGACUUCUUAACAUGACAUUAUUAUAAAGUAAUCAUGUUACAGCCAUAUCCAAAAGUU